RNAcentral lists this ribosomal RNA (316 nucleotides) under Clostridioides difficile. RNAcentral describes it as "bacterial SSU rRNA". It matches the Rfam family "Bacterial small subunit ribosomal RNA", at positions 1 to 326 of the family's 1533-position model. The record is from RNAcentral. Lineage: Bacteria; Bacillati; Bacillota; Clostridia; Peptostreptococcales; Peptostreptococcaceae.
UUAUUUGAGAGUUUGAUCCUGGCUCAGGAUGAACGCUGGCGGCGUGCCUAACACAUGCAAGUUGAGCGAUUUACUUCGGUAAAGAGCGGCGGACGGGUGAGUAACGCGUGGGUAACCUACCCUGUACACACGGAUAACAUACCGAAAGGUAUGCUAAUACGGGAUAACAUAUUUGAGAGGCAUCUCUUAAAUAUCAAAGGUGAGCCAGUACAGGAUGGACCCGCGUCUGAUUAGCUAGUUGGUAAGGUAACGGCUUACCAAGGCGACGAUCAGUAGCCGACCUGAGAGGGUGAUCGGCCACAUUGGAACUGAGACA